Molecule: ribosomal RNA, 449 nt
Filed under: uncultured bacterium
Lineage: Bacteria
Description: partial 16S ribosomal RNA
Rfam family: Bacterial small subunit ribosomal RNA
Source: RNAcentral
AAUGAACGCUGGCGGCAGGCCUAACACAUGCAGGUCGAACGGAUCCUCCGGGAUUAGUGGCGGACGGGUGAGUAACGCGUGGGAACAUACCCUUUGGUACGGAAUAGCCUCGGGAAACUGGGAGUAAUACCGUAUGUGGUCGAGAGACGAAAGAUUUAUCGCCAAAGGAUUGGCCCGCGUUGGAUUAGGUAGUUGGUGGGGUAAUGGCCUACCAAGCCGACGAUCCAUAGCUGGUUUGAGAGGAUGAUCAGCCACACUGGGACUGAGACACGGCCCAGACUCCUACGGGAGGCAGCAGUGGGGAAUCUUAGACAAUGGGGGAAACCCUGAUCUAGCCAUGCCGCGUGAUCGAUGAAGGCCUUAGGGUUGUAAAGAUCUUUCAGGUGGGAAGAUAAUGACUGUACCACCAGAAGAAGCCCCGGCUAACUCCGUGCCAGCAGCCGCGGUAA